GACGAACGCUGGCGGCGUGCUUAACACAUGCAAGUCGAACGGAAAGGCCCCUUUGGGGGUACUCGAGUGGCGCACGGGUGCGUAACACGUGAGUAACCUGCCCUUGACUUCGGGAUAACUUCAGGAAACUGGGGCUAAUACCGGAUAGGAAUCCUUGCUGCAUGGUGGGGGUUGGAAAGCUUCGGCGGUUUUGGAUGGACUCGCGGCCUAUCAGCUUGUUGGUGGGGUAGUGGCUUACCAAGGCUUUGACGGGUAGCCGGCCUGAGAGGGCGACCGGCCACAUUGGGACUGAGAUACGGCCCAGACUCCUACGGGAGGCAGCAGUGGGGAAUAUUGCACAAUGGGCGGAAGCCUGAUGCAGCAACGCCGCGUGCGGGAUGACGGCCUUCGGGUUGUAAACCGCUUUCAGCAGGGGCGAAGCUUGUGGUGACGGUACCUGCAGAAGAAGCACCGGCUAACUACGUG
RNAcentral lists this ribosomal RNA (465 nucleotides) under uncultured bacterium. Its description in RNAcentral is "partial 16S ribosomal RNA". It matches the Rfam family "Bacterial small subunit ribosomal RNA", at positions 28 to 507 of the family's 1533-position model. The record is from RNAcentral.